Molecule: ribosomal RNA, 2905 nt
Filed under: Escherichia coli
Lineage: Bacteria; Pseudomonadati; Pseudomonadota; Gammaproteobacteria; Enterobacterales; Enterobacteriaceae
Description: 23S ribosomal RNA
Rfam family: Bacterial large subunit ribosomal RNA
Source: RNAcentral
GGUUAAGCGACUAAGCGUACACGGUGGAUGCCCUGGCAGUCAGAGGCGAUGAAGGACGUGCUAAUCUGCGAUAAGCGUCGGUAAGGUGAUAUGAACCGUUAUAACCGGCGAUUUCCGAAUGGGGAAACCCAGUGUGAUUCGUCACACUAUCAUUAACUGAAUCCAUAGGUUAAUGAGGCGAACCGGGGGAACUGAAACAUCUAAGUACCCCGAGGAAAAGAAAUCAACCGAGAUUCCCCCAGUAGCGGCGAGCGAACGGGGAGGAGCCCAGAGCCUGAAUCAGUGUGUGUGUUAGUGGAAGCGUCUGGAAAGGCGCGCGAUACAGGGUGACAGCCCCGUACACAAAAAUGCACAUGCUGUGAGCUCGAUGAGUAGGGCGGGACACGUGGUAUCCUGUCUGAAUAUGGGGGGACCAUCCUCCAAGGCUAAAUACUCCUGACUGACCGAUAGUGAACCAGUACCGUGAGGGAAAGGCGAAAAGAACCCCGGCGAGGGGAGUGAAAAAGAACCUGAAACCGUGUACGUACAAGCAGUGGGAGCCUCUUUAUGGGGUGACUGCGUACCUUUUGUAUAAUGGGUCAGCGACUUAUAUUCUGUAGCAAGGUUAACCGAAUAGGGGAGCCGAAGGGAAACCGAGUCUUAACUGGGCGUUAAGUUGCAGGGUAUAGACCCGAAACCCGGUGAUCUAGCCAUGGGCAGGUUGAAGGUUGGGUAACACUAACUGGAGGACCGAACCGACUAAUGUUGAAAAAUUAGCGGAUGACUUGUGGCUGGGGGUGAAAGGCCAAUCAAACCGGGAGAUAGCUGGUUCUCCCCGAAAGCUAUUUAGGUAGCGCCUCGUGAAUUCAUCUCCGGGGGUAGAGCACUGUUUCGGCAAGGGGGUCAUCCCGACUUACCAACCCGAUGCAAACUGCGAAUACCGGAGAAUGUUAUCACGGGAGACACACGGCGGGUGCUAACGUCCGUCGUGAAGAGGGAAACAACCCAGACCGCCAGCUAAGGUCCCAAAGUCAUGGUUAAGUGGGAAACGAUGUGGGAAGGCCCAGACAGCCAGGAUGUUGGCUUAGAAGCAGCCAUCAUUUAAAGAAAGCGUAAUAGCUCACUGGUCGAGUCGGCCUGCGCGGAAGAUGUAACGGGGCUAAACCAUGCACCGAAGCUGCGGCAGCGACGCUUAUGCGUUGUUGGGUAGGGGAGCGUUCUGUAAGCCUGCGAAGGUGUACUGUGAGGUAUGCUGGAGGUAUCAGAAGUGCGAAUGCUGACAUAAGUAACGAUAAAGCGGGUGAAAAGCCCGCUCGCCGGAAGACCAAGGGUUCCUGUCCAACGUUAAUCGGGGCAGGGUGAGUCGACCCCUAAGGCGAGGCCGAAAGGCGUAGUCGAUGGGAAACAGGUUAAUAUUCCUGUACUUGGUGUUACUGCGAAGGGGGGACGGAGAAGGCUAUGUUGGCCGGGCGACGGUUGUCCCGGUUUAAGCGUGUAGGCUGGUUUUCCAGGCAAAUCCGGAAAAUCAAGGCUGAGGCGUGAUGACGAGGCACUACGGUGCUGAAGCAACAAAUGCCCUGCUUCCAGGAAAAGCCUCUAAGCAUCAGGUAACAUCAAAUCGUACCCCAAACCGACACAGGUGGUCAGGUAGAGAAUACCAAGGCGCUUGAGAGAACUCGGGUGAAGGAACUAGGCAAAAUGGUGCCGUAACUUCGGGAGAAGGCACGCUGAUAUGUAGGUGAAGCGACUUGCUCGUGGAGCUGAAAUCAGUCGAAGAUACCAGCUGGCUGCAACUGUUUAUUAAAAACACAGCACUGUGCAAACACGAAAGUGGACGUAUACGGUGUGACGCCUGCCCGGUGCCGGAAGGUUAAUUGAUGGGGUUAGCGGUAACGCGAAGCUCUUGAUCGAAGCCCCGGUAAACGGCGGCCGUAACUAUAACGGUCCUAAGGUAGCGAAAUUCCUUGUCGGGUAAGUUCCGACCUGCACGAAUGGCGUAAUGAUGGCCAGGCUGUCUCCACCCGAGACUCAGUGAAAUUGAACUCGCUGUGAAGAUGCAGUGUACCCGCGGCAAGACGGAAAGACCCCGUGAACCUUUACUAUAGCUUGACACUGAACAUUGAGCCUUGAUGUGUAGGAUAGGUGGGAGGCUUUGAAGUGUGGACGCCAGUCUGCAUGGAGCCGACCUUGAAAUACCACCCUUUAAUGUUUGAUGUUCUAACGUUGGCCCCUAAUCGGGGUUGCGGACAGUGUCUGGUGGGUAGUUUGACUGGGGCGGUCUCCUCCUAAAGAGUAACGGAGGAGCACGAAGGUUGGCUAAUCCUGGUCGGACAUCAGGAGGUUAGUGCAAUGGCAUAAGCCAGCUUGACUGCGAGCGUGACGGCGCGAGCAGGUGCGAAAGCAGGUCAUAGUGAUCCGGUGGUUCUGAAUGGAAGGGCCAUCGCUCAACGGAUAAAAGGUACUCCGGGGAUAACAGGCUGAUACCGCCCAAGAGUUCAUAUCGACGGCGGUGUUUGGCACCUCGAUGUCGGCUCAUCACAUCCUGGGGCUGAAGUAGGUCCCAAGGGUAUGGCUGUUCGCCAUUUAAAGUGGUACGCGAGCUGGGUUUAGAACGUCGUGAGACAGUUCGGUCCCUAUCUGCCGUGGGCGCUGGAGAACUGAGGGGGGCUGCUCCUAGUACGAGAGGACCGGAGUGGACGCAUCACUGGUGUUCGGGUUGUCAUGCCAAUGGCACUGCCCGGUAGCUAAAUGCGGAAGAGAUAAGUGCUGAAAGCAUCUAAGCACGAAACUUGCCCCGAGAUGAGUUCUCCCUGACUCCUUGAGAGUCCUGAAGGAACGUUGAAGACGACGACGUUGAUAGGCCGGGUGUGUAAGCGCAGCGAUGCGUUGAGCUAACCGGUACUAAUGAACCGUGAGGCUUAACCUU